This 64-nucleotide transfer RNA is filed under the name bovine gut metagenome. It matches the Rfam family "tRNA". Rfam says of the family: Transfer RNA (tRNA) molecules are approximately 80 nucleotides in length. Their secondary structure includes four short double-helical elements and three loops (D, anti-codon, and T loops). The record is from RNAcentral.
GGUAUCGUUUAAUGGUAGGACUUCAGCCUUCCAAGCUGAUAAUGUGAGUUCGAUUCUCAUUACC